Molecule: ribosomal RNA, 447 nt
Filed under: uncultured bacterium
Lineage: Bacteria
Description: bacterial SSU rRNA
Rfam family: Bacterial small subunit ribosomal RNA
Source: RNAcentral
AACGAACGCUGGCGGCAUGCCUAACACAUGCAAGUCGAACGAGACCUUCGGGUCUAGUGGCGCACGGGUGCGUAACGCGUGGGAACCUGCCUUUAGGUUCGGAAUAACUCAGAGAAAUUUGAGCUAAUACCGGAUAAUGUCUUCGGACCAAAGAUUUAUCGCCUUUAGAUGGGCCCGCGUUGGAUUAGCUAGUUGGUGGGGUAAAGGCCUACCAAGGCGACGAUCCAUAGCUGGUCUGAGAGGAUGAUCAGCCACACUGGGACUGAGACACGGCCCAGACUCCUACGGGAGGCAGCAGUGGGGAAUAUUGGACAAUGGGCGAAAGCCUGAUCCAGCAAUGCCGCGUGAGUGAUGAAGGCCUUAGGGUUGUAAAGCUCUUUUACCCGAGAUGAUAAUGACAGUAUCGGGAGAAUAAGCUCCGGCUAACUCCGUGCCAGCAGCCGCGGU